AGCGAACGCUGGCGGCAGGCUUAACACAUGCAAGUCGAGCGGGCACCUUUCGGGGUGUCAGCGGCGGACGGGUGAGUAACGCGUGGGAACGUGCCCCCUGGUUCGGAAUAACUCAGGGAAACUUGAGCUAAUACCGGAUACGCCCUUUUGGGGAAAGGCUUGCUGCCGGGGGAUCGGCCCGCGUCUGAUUAGCUAGUUGUUGAGGUAACGGCUCACCAAGGCGACGAUCAGUAGCUGGUCUGAGAGGAUGAGCCGCCACACUGGGACUGAGACACGGCCCAGACUCCUACGGGAGGCAGCAGUGGGGAAUAUUGGACAAUGGGCGCAAGCCUGAUCCAGCCAUGCCGCGUGAGUGAUGAAGGCCUUAGGGUUGUAAAGCUCUUUUAUCCGGGACGAUAAUGACGGUACCGGAGGAAUAAGCCCCGGCUAACUUCGUG
RNAcentral lists this ribosomal RNA (437 nucleotides) under uncultured bacterium. RNAcentral describes it as "partial 16S ribosomal RNA". It matches the Rfam family "Bacterial small subunit ribosomal RNA", at positions 29 to 507 of the family's 1533-position model. The record is from RNAcentral.